Molecule: ribosomal RNA, 491 nt
Filed under: uncultured bacterium
Lineage: Bacteria
Description: partial 16S ribosomal RNA
Rfam family: Bacterial small subunit ribosomal RNA
Source: RNAcentral
AGUGAACGCUGGCGGUAGGCCUAACACAUGCAAGUCGAACGGCAGCACAGUAAGAGCUUGCUCUUACGGGUGGCGAGUGGCGGACGGGUGAGGAAUACAUCGGAAUCUACUUUUUCGUGGGGAUUAAGGAAGGAAACUUACGCUAAUAACGGAAACGACCUACGGGUGGAAGGAGGGGAAAUUUCGGACCUGGGGGGUUUGAAGAGGCGAUGUCGGAUUUGCUAGGUGGCGGGGUAAAGGCCCACCAAGGCGACGAUUCGUAGCUGGUCUGAGAGGAUGAUCAGCCACACUGGAACUGAGACACGGUCCAGACUCCUACGGGAGGCAGCAGUGGGGAAUAUUGGACAAUGGGCGCAAGCCUGAUCCAGCCAUACCGCGUGGGUGAAGAAGGCCUUCGGGUUGUAAAGCCCUUUUGUUGGGAAAGAAAAGCAGCAGGUUAAUACCCCGCUGUUCUGACGGUACCCAAAGAAUAAGCACCGGCUAACUUCGUG